Long non-coding RNA from Anguilla rostrata (American eel), 168 nucleotides. RefSeq lists it as uncharacterized. NCBI's taxonomy places the organism in Eukaryota, Metazoa, Chordata, Actinopteri, Anguilliformes, Anguillidae. The record is from RefSeq and is a predicted model, not a curated record. The transcript is spliced from 2 exons.
AGGGAGGGGAGAGAGGGAGGGGAGGGGAGGGAGGAGAGGGAGGGAGGGGAGGGAGGGAGGGGAGAGAGGGGAGGAGAGAGAAAGAGGGAGGAAUAGAGGGAGAAAGAUGACAAAGGGGUAAACUGUUGCCUGUAAGUCUUCUUCCUCAGAUUCAGAUGAAUUGAUGAG